UACCAGCACCCCGAGUGGUCGGGACGAUUAUUGGGCCUAAAGCAUCCGUAGCCGGUCUUGCAAGUCUUCCGUUAAAUCCACCUGCUUAACAGAUGGGCUGCGGAAGAUACUACAAGACUAGGAGGCGGGAGAGGCAAGCGGUACUCAGUGGGUAGGGGUAAAAUCCGUUGAUCCAUUGAAGACCACCAGUGGCGAAGGCGGCUUGCCAGAAUGCGCUCGACGGUGAGGGAUGAAAGCUGGGGGAGCAAACCGG
This 253-nucleotide ribosomal RNA is filed under the name uncultured bacterium. RNAcentral's name for it is "partial 16S ribosomal RNA". It matches the Rfam family "Archaeal small subunit ribosomal RNA", at positions 474 to 727 of the family's 1478-position model. The record is from RNAcentral.